Poeciliopsis prolifica (blackstripe livebearer) is the source of this 180-nucleotide long non-coding RNA. RefSeq lists it as uncharacterized. NCBI's taxonomy places the organism in Eukaryota, Metazoa, Chordata, Actinopteri, Cyprinodontiformes, Poeciliidae. The record is from RefSeq and is a predicted model, not a curated record. The transcript has 3 exons.
UGAGUGCUUGAUUAUAGGCAAGAGCAAAGAGGACUGUGAAAAUUACAUCACGACACUGCACACUCUGAAUGACAGCAGAAUCUUCACGUGUGGAACCCGGGCAUUCAAACCUCUGUGCACACACCUGUUGUUCAAAGGAGGAAAAGUCAGCAUGGAAACCACAACUUCAGAGGGCAGGGG